RNAcentral lists this non-coding RNA (726 nucleotides) under Pan troglodytes (chimpanzee). The record is from RNAcentral. Lineage: Eukaryota; Metazoa; Chordata; Mammalia; Primates; Hominidae.
CCACCAUACGACUGGAAUCACACAUACACUGCCACAAGAGGUCUGCAGUGAAGGUCCCAAAGUCCCAGACAAGUCCCCUCUUGUUGCCCAGGCUGGAGUGCAGCAGCAUGAUUACAGCUCACAUCAGCCUCGACCUCCCGGGCUCAAGCUAUCCUCCUACCUCAGCCUCCCAAGUAGCUGGGACUAUAGAUAAGACUGAAAGCAACACCAGCCAGUCUUGGGAAAUAUAAAGUCACAAAUACAUUUUGAUAAUUUUUCAUUUUGUAAAGGAUCUUUCUGCUGAUGCAGCUGUUAAGAGUGUUUCAUAAACUGUGACAACACUGAGCAAAAUCAUAGAAGGAAACUCUAUGGACAAUUUCAGAUGGAGAAGAAGAAAGGACUGGAAGUUCAAUUUGGCCAUGACAAUUAGAGGCCAGGUGCAGUGCAUGUAAUCCCAGCACUUUGGGAGACUGAGAUGGGAAGAUCGCUUGAGGCCAGGAGUGCAAGACCAGCCUGGGCAACACAGCAAGACCUUGACUCUACUAAAAAAAAAAAAGGAUCCUUCAACUUCAACAAUAAUAACACGAGGGAAGUGAAGAAAAACACUUUCUAAGGAAAUCUCUCUCUGAGCUACCAUCCUGCUAGGGAGAGCCUGAAAGCAGAAUGCUGACUUGACUAGCUCUGGUCAAUGAAAGAAAUCACUAGUGGAAAGGCUACCAGGGGGCUUUCUCAAAAGAGAGGGACAGU